This 72-nucleotide transfer RNA is filed under the name Camelus bactrianus (Bactrian camel). It matches the Rfam family "tRNA". From Rfam's summary of the family: Transfer RNA (tRNA) molecules are approximately 80 nucleotides in length. Their secondary structure includes four short double-helical elements and three loops (D, anti-codon, and T loops). Lineage: Eukaryota; Metazoa; Chordata; Mammalia; Artiodactyla; Camelidae. The record is from Rfam by way of RNAcentral. RNAcentral also lists the same sequence under 2 other names.
AGGGUAAUAGCUCAGUGGUAGCGCACGUGCUUAGCAUGCACAAAGUCCUGGGUUCAAUCCCUGGUAACUCCA